Molecule: long non-coding RNA, 243 nt
Filed under: Elaeis guineensis (African oil palm)
Lineage: Eukaryota; Viridiplantae; Streptophyta; Magnoliopsida; Arecales; Arecaceae
Description: long non-coding RNA (EGUI_LNC029682)
Source: RNAcentral
AUCCUAGUAAUAUGAUAUGCGUCAGUCAAGAUUGACUUGUAGGGCAUACAUCCAACAAUCUCUCACUUGCACUAAAACCAAUCUGCCAUAUACCAAGCCCCAUCUGCUCAAGACAGGCUUUAGUCUUCGACUAGCUAAGUGACUUACCAGUGGGUUAACCAUAUCUCAUGUAGAGUUUGCUCUCUGUACCUCUAUGUAUUUUCACUUGAGGUAGUCAUGUGUUCUGUUGCUUUAUGUGAUUGG